UGGGCCCAGCGCUACCGGCUCUUCUUCUGGUUCGAUGAGGGCAUCAAAUUGGAACAAGUUGAGUCACAGAGCAAACAGAACACACACACACACUUCAGGAAACACAACCGAUUUCUUCAUACAGGCUCAAGCAGAAAGGAGGCCUGGUUCUCCAUCCACCAGAGAAGAUAGCCGACCACAGUUUCCACUCAUAGACACCUUCUGUGGAGUGGGAGGCAAUGCCAUCCAGUUUGUCCUCACUGUGAAGAGAGUGCUAGCCAUUGACAU
Molecule: RNA transcript, 267 nt
Organism: Oncorhynchus mykiss (rainbow trout)
Lineage: Eukaryota; Metazoa; Chordata; Actinopteri; Salmoniformes; Salmonidae
Gene name: trimethylguanosine synthase-like
Source: RefSeq, a predicted model, not a curated record